UACGUAGGGGGCAAGCGUUGUCCGGAUUCAUUGGGCGUAAAGAGCGUGUAGGCGGCCAGGUAGGUCGGUUGUGAAAACUGGAGGCUCAACCUUCAGACGUCGACCGAAACCAUCUGGCUAGAGUCCGGGAGAGGAGAGUGGAAUUCCUGGUGUAGCGGUGAAAUGCGCAGAUAUCAGGAAGAACACCAAUUGCGAAGGCAGCUCGCUGGGACGUUACUGACGCUGAGACGCGAAAGCGUGGGGAGCAAACAGG
Molecule: ribosomal RNA, 253 nt
Filed under: uncultured bacterium
Lineage: Bacteria
Description: partial 16S ribosomal RNA
Rfam family: Bacterial small subunit ribosomal RNA
Source: RNAcentral